Mustela lutreola (European mink) is the source of this 1571-nucleotide long non-coding RNA. RefSeq lists it as uncharacterized. The record is from RefSeq and is a predicted model, not a curated record. NCBI's taxonomy places the organism in Eukaryota, Metazoa, Chordata, Mammalia, Carnivora, Mustelidae. The transcript is spliced from 4 exons.
GCCAAGAUUCUGAAAUCACCACUUGGAGGAGAACAGCCUACAGAUCAUGAGAAUUCAUUUUGGACUUCCCAUGAAUGAGAAACCUUUCUAUAUUAAGACAGUGGGAUUUGGAGGUUCAUCAGAUACCUCCACACGCACCAACAGAGAAUAAAUGGACGAGAUGCCUACUAACUACUGGAGGGCGUUUUCUUGCAAACAAAACCAAACCCGGUCGCCAGACAGAUAGUUGCAUCUAGGCCUGGAGGAAAGGACCCUGCAGCCCCCAGAGACCCUGAACUUCAGGCUGGACAAGGGAACUAGAAUGAAAGACCAGGAGACAGAAGUCACAUGUUGAGAACAGCAGAGCAACGAGACAGAAGGGCGGCAGGGUUGAUCGCCGCCCCACCCCCAACUCUGGGCAGCCAGAGCACACAUGCAUGGCCCACCUGGAUUCCCAUCUGAAAGAGAAUCCAGCUUUUACUGUGUAAGCCACUGUAUUUAGUAACCUUUAGUUACAGUUACCCUACCCACUGCUUUAACCCUUAUAUUCCCCCUCCUGUUAAUUCUCUGGAAUGGCAUUUGGGUACAGGGGAGACGGGGCUUCUAAUGUGGUAAAGGUGAAGGAGGGGGGCCUGAGUUCCCGAGCACAGGUCCUUGGACCACUCAGCAGCUCCUCUGAGUUCUGUAACAAUGCUUCUUGUUGACCUGGUCACAGGGCAAGCGUCUUGCUGACAUGCUGACAUUUGUUGCCUACAUCUGUACCUAAGAAAGUCAAGAUUUCUCCUGACUCCCUUGGAGUCCAGUGGUCCUUUCAAUGGACUCUUCUCCACUUGGGAUCUACAGGUGCUCUGAACUACCUUGAGGCCUAUCUGCAACUCCCAUGGGCUCCCAGCCUGGGUGACAACCUGGUCCUCACAUAUAGGGUUCAAUUUUCCUUCUCAAGGGUAUUCAGGAAAUUCUGGACAUCUUGCAUACCGAUGAAUGCCAAGAAAGACUCUGGCCAGCCUAAUGCUGCCCUUCUCUCUGCCUAAAGAGGCAGAAGCUUUGCUCCGGGGCAGGUACCUGGUGAGGUUCCCCUUUCCAGAAUCUCAAACUGAAACAGGGUCAGAAGCCUCUCUUCUGCUUUCGAUGCUUUGGAUAUUUCCCUCAAUUGACCUGUUUGCAACUUUGGGACAGGUGGGACACACAUCUCUCACCAACUGCUUCUCUUAUUCUCACCUUUCUCUUCCUUCUACAGUCCUUAGCCAAGGAAGUGGGGGGAGGGGGGCUCAGCUAUUUUUCCCCACUUCCUCCUGGUAGUAGUUCUCCCUGUGUAGAUGUUUAUGAUCAAGUUCACCAGGUGGGCCCUUGAUUUAUUAAAGGCAGUAUUCAGGAUAAAACUAUUUCUUUUAUUUCCUCCACAAAGACUAGCAUCGGAGACUGGUCUUGCUAAGGGGAUGAGAGAAAUCAGGGUGGAGACUCACAGUUUUUCAGUUUUUUGGGCCUCUCUGUCCCAAAUGUUUCCUGCUCCUCUUUCUCUGGGAGACAAGCUUCAUGGCUCAGCCCUGGAGGAGAGAAGCUGAAAUAGUGUGAUAUAUGGGAAAAUAAAGAUA